Molecule: ribosomal RNA, 301 nt
Filed under: uncultured bacterium
Lineage: Bacteria
Description: partial 16S ribosomal RNA
Rfam family: Bacterial small subunit ribosomal RNA
Source: RNAcentral
CAGUAGCCGCGGUAAUACGAAGGGGGCUAGCAUUGCUCGGAAUCACUGGGCGUAAAGGGUGCGUAGGCGGCCCCGCAAGUCUCAUGUGAAAUCUUCAGGCUCAACUUGAAGUCUGCAUGGGAAACUGCGGGGCUGGAGUUCGGAAGAGGUUGGUGGAACAGCUAGUGUAGAGGUGAAAUUCGUAGAUAUUAGCUAGAACACCAGUGGCGAAGGCGGCCAACUGGUCCGAUACUGACGCUGAGGUGCGAAAGCGUGGGGAGCAAACAGGAUUAGAUACCCCCGUAGUCCCUGUCUCUUAUAC